GCUGGGUGUGGUGGUGCAUGCCUGUGAUCCCAGCUACUGAGGAGGCUGAGGCAGGAGGAUCACUUGAGUCCAGGAGGUCAAGGCUGCAGUGAGCAGUGAUUGUGCCACUGCAUUCCGACCUGGGCCACAGAGCGAGACCCUGUCUCAG
Pan troglodytes (chimpanzee) is the source of this 148-nucleotide non-coding RNA. It matches the Rfam family "Metazoan signal recognition particle RNA". Rfam says of the family: The signal recognition particle (SRP) is a universally conserved ribonucleoprotein. It is involved in the co-translational targeting of proteins to membranes. NCBI's taxonomy places the organism in Eukaryota, Metazoa, Chordata, Mammalia, Primates, Hominidae. The record is from Rfam.